RNAcentral lists this ribosomal RNA (501 nucleotides) under Priestia flexa. Its description in RNAcentral is "bacterial SSU rRNA". It matches the Rfam family "Bacterial small subunit ribosomal RNA", at positions 41 to 525 of the family's 1533-position model. Lineage: Bacteria; Bacillati; Bacillota; Bacilli; Caryophanales; Bacillaceae. The record is from RNAcentral.
GGCGUGCCUAAUACAUGCAGUCGAGCGAACUGAUUAGAAGCUUGCUUCUAUGACGUUAGCGGCGGACGGGUGAGUAACACGUGGGCAACCUGCCUGUAAGACUGGGAUAACUCCGGGAAACCGGAGCUAAUACCGGAUAACAUUUUCUCUUGCAUAAGAGAAAAUUGAAAGAUGGUUUCGGCUAUCACUUACAGAUGGGCCCGCGGUGCAUUAGCUAGUUGGUGAGGUAACGGCUCACCAAGGCAACGAUGCAUAGCCGACCUGAGAGGGUGAUCGGCCACACUGGGACUGAGACACGGCCCAGACUCCUACGGGAGGCAGCAGUAGGGAAUCUUCCGCAAUGGACGAAAGUCUGACGGAGCAACGCCGCGUGAGUGAUGAAGGCUUUCGGGUCGUAAAACUCUGUUGUUAGGGAAGAACAAGUACAAGAGUAACUGCUUGUACCUUGACGGUACCUAACCAGAAAGCCACGGCUAACUACGUGCCAGCAGCCGGUAAAUA